This 548-nucleotide long non-coding RNA is filed under the name Ornithorhynchus anatinus (platypus). RNAcentral's name for it is "lncRNA (ENSOANG00000043167.1)". The record is from RNAcentral. Lineage: Eukaryota; Metazoa; Chordata; Mammalia; Monotremata; Ornithorhynchidae.
AUGCCGUGGUGCUUGCCGGAAGUUACACAAAGUUCAUAUUCUGACCUCCAUUUUCCUCUAAUCCGUUGCUGGGGCAGUUGCUCUUCUGGAACAGUGGUGCCGGCAAUGUUGCUAAGAGUACGGAUCAAGCAGAACAGCUUUUUAGAAGUGGACAUACAAACAACUGGGCGGUUUUGGUAAGCAUGUUAUAAAGUUCAUUUUGGAGUGAAAAUGUGGAAUUCUAUUUAAUACUGCUUGCGUGUGGUGUUCUCAUCAUCUUACCCGUGGGCCACUUGCUGCUUAGUUUAUAAUUUUGUUAGUUUAUUGUUUAGAUCAUGUAAUAUAUAAACAGAGCUCCUUAUCUUCCCACCCAAACCCUGUCCUCCUCCGACUUUCCCGUCACUGUAGACAGCACCACCAUCCUCCCUGUAUCACAAACCCAUAAACUUGGCAUUGUUCUCGACUCAUCUCUCUCAUUCAACCCACGUGUUCAGUCUGUGUCCAGAUCCAGUCACUUCAACCUUUAGAAGAUUGCUAGAAUCUGCCUUUCCUCUCCAUCCAAACUAACG